AGUGAACGCUGGCGGUAGGCCUAACACAUGCAAGUCGAACGGCAGCACAGUAAGAGCUUGCUCUUACGGGUGGCGAGUGGCGGACGGGUGAGGAAUACAUCGGAAUCUACUUUUUCGUGGGGGAUAACGUAGGGAAACUUACGCUAAUACCGCAUACGACCUACGGGUGAAAGCAGGGGAUCUUCGGACCUUGCGCGAUUGAAUGAGCCGAUGUCGGAUUAGCUAGUUGGCUGGGUAAAGGCCCACCAAGGCGACGAUCCGUAGCUGGUCUGAGAGGAUGAUCAGCCACACUGGAACUGAGACACGGUCCAGACUCCUACGGGAGGCAGCAGUGGGGAAUAUUGGACAAAGGGCGCAAGCCUGAUCCAGCCAUACCGCGUGGGUGAAGAAGGCCUUCGGGUUGUAAAGCCCUUUUGUUGGGAAAGAAAAGCAGCAGGUUAAUACCCCGCUGUCCUGACGGUACCCAAAGAAUAAGCACCGGCUAACUUCGUG
Molecule: ribosomal RNA, 492 nt
Filed under: uncultured bacterium
Lineage: Bacteria
Description: partial 16S ribosomal RNA
Rfam family: Bacterial small subunit ribosomal RNA
Source: RNAcentral